This 1246-nucleotide long non-coding RNA is filed under the name Homo sapiens (human). RNAcentral describes it as "HSALNT0386287". Lineage: Eukaryota; Metazoa; Chordata; Mammalia; Primates; Hominidae. The record is from RNAcentral.
AGAAAUAAGAGCUCCUGAGACCCUGCUGGAUACAAAUGCCCUGUACGACCUAAGGGCCUCCACAGCAGGAACAAAAGGAAUUUUGUCUGAGAUUUUAGCAGAAAAGUAAUUUUUGAAAUCUAUUCUUGGAUUUAGACGUUUAUUGGAUUUCAAAGCUUCUUGCUGCCCAGGAGCUUGUGAAUACGGUCAAAGGUCCAUGAAAUUUCCAAAGUGGUACCACAGCAGAUGAACCUGAAUGCAAACUGGAGGGACCAACAGAGUCCAGCCUAUAGACAUAAAUCCUUAACUACACCUAGAUCUCACUGUCUUUUCCAAUGGUCAAAAGAGGGGCUCUUGAAAUGGCUCCAUUGUUUUAUAGAAACAAGGUCUUCCUAAGAAGUCUUUUUCUCCUAUCUUUUUCUUACCCAAAAUAAAGGAAUGGCCCAAAACCUCAAGCCAAGCUUACCAGCUAUAAACAACUUGGUGGUCAGCAGCCAAAAGAAGAGUGGACAUGCCAUGGUCAUGUGGCACGUACCCUAUACAAGCUUCACAGAGAAGAAUGGAAGCACUUGAUUGUAAGACAGAGGGUGAGAUGUGAGAGGAAUAUUAACCUUCACUUUCCACAGGCAUUUUUUUCUGCAAAUGGCACCAGCUUUUGGACUUAAAAUUUUAUUCCAAAUACUAUUUAGAUGCAUCAGGGCCCUCAAAAUAUGGAUUUCAAGUUGGAGACAUCAAAGUGCAUUAUUUACUAAAACCACUGCAGCUUUUUUCCCCUCUCCUUUCACAAGAUGCUAUUGUAAAUUCAGGCUGCUUUAAUCUCUGUGAUUAAAAAAAAAAAGGAAGAAAGAAAAAAAAAGUGCUGCUUGAAGAGGAACUGAACUCACAAUCUGGGAGCUAGAAAUCCUUAGGUCUUCAGCAAAGCUUGGACCACUUGGCAAAGUCUUCUGUCUCCAGAGGAAUGAUGGGAAAACUAUGGGACAAAAGUCAGGAGAGUGGUGCUGGCUGAUCCUGGCCUGGACAUUGACUCCCUGGGGACUUUGGUGCUCUCUCGUGCUCUCUCUGUCUCCAGUGAUAAGCUGACCAGAUGCCUUGAAUUAAGUACAGUAUGCAGCAAUGCCAGCCCUGGACUUUUCCCCAACCUAUCACCCAACCCACUUACCUGGAGCCAAGGGUCACCAACAUCUCUAAUAGAAUCCAACUGUGGAAUAGAAAAACUAUUUCGUCUAAGAAGUGGAUCCUAGCUGUCAAAUAAAAAAUCGCUGUUGAA